UGGCCAGACUCCUACGGGAGGCAGCAGUGAGGAAUAUUGGUCAAUGGGCGAGAGCCUGAACCAGCCAAGUCGCGUGAGGGAAGACGGUCCUAUGGAUUGUAAACCUCUUUUGCCGGGGAGCAAAAAGCGGUACGUGUACCGCAUCGAGAGUACCCGGAGAAAAAGCAUCGGCUAACUCCGCGCCAGCAGCCGCGGUAAUACGGAGGAUGCGAGCGUUAUCCGGAUUUAUUGGGUUUAAAGGGUGCGCAGGCGGCGAGUUAAGUCGGGGGUAAAAUUUCGGGGCUCAACCUCGUCGAGCCGUUGAAACUGGGUGCCUUGAGUGGGCGAGAAGUACGCGGAAUGCGUGGUGUAGCGGUGAAAUGCGUAGAUAUCACGCAGAACUCCGAUUGCGAAGGCAGCGUACCGGCGCCCAACUGACGCUGAAGCACGAAGGCGUGGGUAUCGAACAGGAUUAGAUACCCGCGUAGAU
This 469-nucleotide ribosomal RNA is filed under the name uncultured bacterium. RNAcentral describes it as "bacterial SSU rRNA". It matches the Rfam family "Bacterial small subunit ribosomal RNA", at positions 328 to 795 of the family's 1533-position model. The record is from RNAcentral.